GUCAAAGAGCUGAAGCCACAGCUGCCACUCCAGAAACCCAGGGAAAAGACAGGAAUUCUCCUGCAGAAAAUCCUUACCUUUCUAACAUUCUGUGAGUGAUGCCCUGAAGGGGCAGGACAAUACCCUGCCUGCUCCCCAUCCAGCAGUACUGAUUGGCAGCCCCUAGUCCACAUCCAGAACUCUGAGGAGGUGGCUGAGAAACGCAACUGUUAGCUUUCUGACCUCUCCACCCAGAAGGUGGGUGUAUGGCUGUGGAGUGAGAGGCGCUCAGGUUGCCCGUCUUAGCAUCCUUUACAGCACUAAGAUGGAGAGCAGCAGGCUUCAGAAACUUCACCCCUCCAGCGGAACUAUAUGCCACCUAGCAGAGGAUGAUGUCAUCCGUAUCAAGUGAUAGGAC
This 397-nucleotide long non-coding RNA is filed under the name Marmota monax (woodchuck). The record is from RNAcentral. Lineage: Eukaryota; Metazoa; Chordata; Mammalia; Rodentia; Sciuridae.